Molecule: long non-coding RNA, 1412 nt
Filed under: Chrysolophus pictus (golden pheasant)
Lineage: Eukaryota; Metazoa; Chordata; Aves; Galliformes; Phasianidae
Description: lncRNA (ENSCPIG00010006029.1)
Source: RNAcentral
UGACCGACGCUCUGUGACCCCCCAGCGCUCCGUCCCCGCAGACCUGGAGGACCCCACAGCCCUCGGGGACGUAGAGAGUCGCCGCGACUCUAUGGUCACCUGCGGCCCCACGGAUCAGCUGGAGCUGAAGACCCCCCGCCACCCCACGGAUUCUCUGAGUCUGGAGGUCCUCCAGAACUCUGUGUCCGACCGCCGCCCCGCAGCCCCUCGGGGACGUAGAGAGUCGCCGCGACUCUAUGGUCACCUGCGGCCCCACGGAUCAGCUGGAGCUGAAGACCCCCCGCCACCCCACGGAUUCUCUGAGUCUGGAGGUCCUCCAGAACUCUGUGUCCGACCGCCGCCCCGCAGCCCCUCUAGGCCCCAAGGCUCACCCCAACUCUAUGGUUAACUGUGACCCGACGGAACACCUUGACUUGAAGGCCCGCCACGACUCUAUGGCCAACCACGACCCAACGGCCGCUCUAGGCCUCAAGGUCCUCCACGGCUCUAUGGUCAACUGCAGCCCCGCAGCCGCUCUAGGCCUCAGUGCCCACCGUGACUCUGUGAUUAAUUGUGACCCAACGGCCGCUCUAGGCCCCAAGGUCCCCCAGAACUCUAUGAUCAACUGCAGCCCCGCGGCCACUCUAGGCCCCAAGGUUCACCAUGACUCUAUCGUUAACACCGAUCCAAUGGAACAACUUGACUUGAAGGCCCACUGUGACUCUAUGGUUAACCACGACCAAACGGCCGCUCUAGCCUCCAAGGCCCACUGUGACUCUAUGGCCAACUGCGACCCAACGGACACUCUAGGCCCCAACACCCACCACGACUCUAUGGUCAAACUCAACCAUGUGGCUCCUCUAGUCCCAAAGGCCCACUGUGACUCUAUGGCCAACCGUGACCCGACGGCCUCUCUAGGCCUCAAGGUCCUCCAGAACUCUGUGGUCAGCUGCAGCCCCAUGACCACUCUAGGACCCAGUGCUCACCGUGACUCUAUGGUUAACUGUGACCCGAUGGAACACCUUGACUUGAAGGCCUACCACAACUCUAUGGCCAACCCUGUCCCAGCGGCCGCUCUAGACCUCAUGGUCCCCCAGAACUCUAUGGUCAACGGCAGCCCCACGGCCACUCUAGGCCUGAAGACCCACCGAGACUCUAUGGUCAACCACAGCUCCAUGGCCGCUCUAGGCCCAAAGUCCCACCGCAACUCUAUGGCCAACCGUGACCCAGUGGCCACUCUAGGCCCAAAGACCCCCUACAACUCUAUGACCCACAGCAUCUCUACGGCCACUCUAGGCCCAAAGACCCCCUGCGACUCCAUGACCCACAGCAUCUCUACGGCCACUCUAGGCCCAAAGACUUCCCAUGACUCUAUGACCCACAGCAGCUCUGUGACCAACCACGACCCAGGGGCCACUCUAGGCCUGAAGACC